AGGCCAUGGUGUGGGCAUUUUCUCAUCAACUCCUUCAUCCUCUCCUAAGCCUCAUGAAUUUCUUCACCCAACGUUUGGGUGAAUCCAGUGGUGGCUCUCCUCAUGGU
Nelumbo nucifera (sacred lotus) is the source of this 107-nucleotide non-coding RNA. The record is from Rfam. Lineage: Eukaryota; Viridiplantae; Streptophyta; Magnoliopsida; Proteales; Nelumbonaceae.